Molecule: ribosomal RNA, 253 nt
Filed under: uncultured bacterium
Lineage: Bacteria
Description: partial 16S ribosomal RNA
Rfam family: Bacterial small subunit ribosomal RNA
Source: RNAcentral
UACGGAGGGUGCGAGCGUUGUCCGGAAUCAUUGGGCGUAAAGAGCGUGUAGGCGGCCCGAUAAGUCCGCUGUGAAAGUCCAGGGCUCAACCCUGGAAUGCCGGUGGAUACUGUCGGGCUCGAGUUCGGAAGAGGUGAGUGGAAUUCCUGGUGUAGCGGUGAAAUGCGCAGAUAUCGUAAGGAAGACCAGUGGCGAAGGCGAAUCUCUGGACAGUUACUGACACUGAGGCACGAAGGCCAGGGGAGCAAACGGG